AGUGAACGCUGGCGGUAGGCCUAACACAUGCAAGUCGAACGGCAGCACAGUAAGAGCUUGCUCUUACGGGUGGCGAGUGGCGGACGGGUGAGGAAUACAUCGGAAUCUACUUUUUCGUGGGGGAUAACGUAGGGAAACUUACGCUAAUACCGCAUACGACCUACGGGUGAAAGCAGGGGAUCUUCGGACCUUGCGCGAUUGAAUGAGCCGAUGUCGGAUUAGCUAGUUGGCAGGGUAAAGGCCCACCAAUGCAACGAUCCGUAGCUGGUCUGAGAGGAUGACCAGCCACACUGGAAUUGAAACACGGUCCAGACUCCUACGGGAGGCAGCAGUGGGGAAUAUUGGACAAUGGGCGCAAGCCUGAUCCAGCCAUACCGCGUGGGUGAAGAAGGCCUUCGGGUUGUAAAGCCCUUUUGUUGGGAAAGAAAAGCAGCAGGUUAAUACCCCGCUGUUCUGACGGUACCCAAAGAAUAAGCACCGGCUAACUUCGUG
RNAcentral lists this ribosomal RNA (492 nucleotides) under uncultured bacterium. RNAcentral's name for it is "partial 16S ribosomal RNA". It matches the Rfam family "Bacterial small subunit ribosomal RNA", at positions 29 to 507 of the family's 1533-position model. The record is from RNAcentral.